Molecule: small nuclear RNA, 107 nt
Filed under: Aotus nancymaae (Ma's night monkey)
Lineage: Eukaryota; Metazoa; Chordata; Mammalia; Primates; Aotidae
Source: RNAcentral
GCGCUCGCUUCGGCAGCACAUAUACUAAAAUUGGAACGAUACAGAGAAGAUUAGCAUGGCCCCUGGGCAAGGAUGACACACAAAUUAGUGAAGCGUUCCAUAUUAAA